This 380-nucleotide long non-coding RNA is filed under the name Homo sapiens (human). RNAcentral's name for it is "non-protein coding lnc-PTBP2-4:1". Lineage: Eukaryota; Metazoa; Chordata; Mammalia; Primates; Hominidae. The record is from RNAcentral.
AGAGCCUGGCUUUCACCUCUUCCUCCCUCUUGCUAAUCCUUCUGAGUCCUGGGCUUCAUUGUAAAUGGUCUGAAGAGUCUUUUAGCCUCAAAGCCUAAAUAUUUGCUUAAAAUAAAUGUAGAAACAGGUAUAGGGAGGUGGUUGAGUGAAAGGAAAAAUGUGUGCCCAGGAAACAAAUGCAAAAGAAGAGAGCACAAUAGUAAAACGAUGAUGAAGGAUGUAUAAAAUGAACCUGAAUUUCACCUUCUUCUGGUAGGCCUUCAUUUGGUAUCUUUGCAGGUGCCUGCUUGAGGUAAUGUGGAUGCACAAGGCAGUGAAUCUAAUUUUUGAAACUGUUUAAAGAGAGGUUUUUUAGUCUGUAAGCACAUUUCUUUUAAGGG